Molecule: ribosomal RNA, 795 nt
Filed under: uncultured bacterium
Lineage: Bacteria
Description: bacterial SSU rRNA
Rfam family: Bacterial small subunit ribosomal RNA
Source: RNAcentral
AGAGUUUGAUCCUGGCUCAGGACGAACGCUGGCGGCGUGCUUAACACAUGCAAGUCAAGGGAGAAAAAGGCAGCAAUGCUUUGAGUAAACCGGCAGACGGGUGCGUAACACGUAGGCAACCUUCCUUGUUGACUGGAAUAACCCCGAGAAAUCGGGAUUAAUACCAGAUAAUAUUGUUUUUUGGCAUUAAGAAACAAUCAAAGCUCCAAAAGAGCGCGGCAAGAUGGGCCUGCGUCCGAUUAGCUAGUUGGCGAGGUAAUGGCUCACCAAGGCAAUGAUCGGUAGCUGGUCUGAGAGGAUGGUCAGCCACACUGGAACUGAGACACGGUCCAGACUCCUACGGGAGGCAGCAGUGAGGAAUAUUGCUCAAUGGACGAAAGUCUGAAGCAGCGACGCCGCGUGAGGGAUGAAAUCCGUUAGGAUGUAAACCUCUUUUGUGGGUGAAGAAUAUAGCGCUAUAGGCGCUAUUGACGGUAGCCCGCGAAUAAGCAUCGGCUAACUACGUGCCAGCAGCCGCGGUAAUACGUAGGAUGCAAGCGUUGUCCGGAAUCACUGGGUGUAAAGGGUCCGCAGGUGGAUUUGUAAGUCUGUGGUGAAAUCUUACGGCUCAACCGUAAAACUGCCACAGAUACUGCUUUUCUAGAGUGUGAAAGAGGAAGAUGGAAUUCAUGGUGUAGCAGUGAAAUGCGUAGAUAUCAUGAAGAACACCGGUAGCGAAGGCGGUCUUCUGGUUCACUACUGACGCUCAUGGACGAAAGCGUGGGGAUCAAACAGGAUUAGAUACCCUGGUAGUCC